RNAcentral lists this ribosomal RNA (1514 nucleotides) under Salmonella enterica subsp. enterica. RNAcentral's name for it is "16S ribosomal RNA". It matches the Rfam family "Bacterial small subunit ribosomal RNA". The record is from RNAcentral. Lineage: Bacteria; Pseudomonadati; Pseudomonadota; Gammaproteobacteria; Enterobacterales; Enterobacteriaceae.
AAAUUGAAGAGUUUGAUCAUGGCAGAUGAACGCUGGCGGCAGGCCUAACACAUGCAAGUCGAACGGUAACAGGAAGCGGCUUGCUGCUUCGCUGACAGUGGCGGACGGGUGGUAAUGUCUGGAAACGCUGCCUGAUGGAGGGAUAACUACUGGAAACGGUGGCUAAUGCCGCAUAACGUCGCAGGGCAAGAGGACCUUCGGGCCUCUUGCCGUCGAAUGUGCUUGGAUGGGAUUGAAAAGCUUGUUGGUGGUAACGGCUCACCAAGGCGACGAUCCUAGCUGGUCCUGAGAGGAUGACCAUACACUGGAACUGAGACACGGUCCGGGCGCUCCUACGGGGGGCAGCAGUGGGGAAUAUUGCUGGGCGCAAGCCUGAUGCAGCCAUGCCGCGUGUAUGAAGAAGGCCUUCGGGUUGUAAAAGUACUUUCAGCAGCGGGAGGGAAGGUGUUGUGGUUAAUAACCGCAGCGAUUGACGUUACCGCAGAAAACACCGGCUAACUCCGUGCCAGCAGCCGCGGUAAUACGGAGGGUGCGAAGCGUUAAUCCGGAAUUACUGGGCGUGGCGCAGGCGGUCUGUCAAGUCGGAUGUGAAAUCCCGGGCUCAACACGGGAACUGCAUUCGAAACUGGCGAGCCCGAGGUCUUGUGGGGGGUAGAAUUCGGGUGUAGCGGUGUGCGUGAGAGAUCUGGGCCGGUGGCGGCGGCCUGGACAAGACUGACGCUCAGGUGCAGCGUGGGGAGCAAACAGGGUGAAUAUACUGGUGAUCCACGCCGUAAGCAGUAAUGCUGCGGAGGUUGUGCCCUUGAGGCGUGGCUUUACCGGAGCUAACGCGCGUUAGAAGUAGACCGCACGGGGAGUACGGCCGCCAGGUUAAAACUCAAAUGGUCGACGGGGCCCGCACAAGCGGUGGAGCAUGUGGUUUAAUUCGAUGCAACGCGCGAAGAACCUUACUGAUGUGACAUCACGGAAGUUUUCAGAGAUGAGAAUGUGCCUUCGGGAACCGUGAGACAGGUGCUGCAUGAAACGCAUCGUCAGCUCGUGUUGUGAAAUGUUGGGUUAAAUUUUAACGAGCGCAGCCUUAUCGCUGUUACGCCAUCGGUGGGUCGGGAACUCAAAGGAAGACUGCCAGUGAUAAACUGGGAGGAAGGUGGGGAUGACGUCAAAAGUCAUCAUGGCCUACGACGGGGCUACACACGUGCUUUACAAUGGCGCAUACAAAGAGAAACGACCUCGCGAGAGCGAAGGCGGACCUCAUAAGUGCACGUCAUGGUCCGGAUUGGAGUCUGCAACUCGACUCCAUGAAGUCGGAAUCGCUAGUAAUCGUGGAUCAGAAUGCCACGGUGAAUACGUUACGUUCCCGGGCGGCUGGACACGCCGCCCGUCACACCAUGGGAGUGGGUUGCCAAAGAAGUGGUAGCAACCUUCAGGAGGCGCUUACCACUUUGUGAUUCACUGACUGGGGUAAGUCGUAACAAGGUAACAAGUAGGGAACCUGCGGUUGGAUCACCUCACUU